Molecule: ribosomal RNA, 629 nt
Filed under: Aspergillus stramenius
Lineage: Eukaryota; Fungi; Ascomycota; Eurotiomycetes; Eurotiales; Aspergillaceae
Description: eukaryotic LSU rRNA
Rfam family: Eukaryotic large subunit ribosomal RNA
Source: RNAcentral
UUGACCUCGGAUCAGGUAGGGAUACCCGCUGAACUUAAGCAUAUCAAUAAGCGGAGGAAAAGAAACCAACAGGGAUUGCCUCAGUAACGGCGAGUGAAGCGGCAAGAGCUCAAAUUUGAAAGCUGGCCCCCUCGGGGUCCGCGUUGUAAUUUGCAGAGGAUGCUUCGGGUGCAGCCCCCGUCUAAGUGCCCUGGAACGGGCCGUCAUAGAGGGUGAGAAUCCCGUCUGGGACGGGGUGUCUGCGUCCGUGUGAAGCUCCUUCGACGAGUCGAGUUGUUUGGGAAUGCAGCUCUAAAUGGGUGGUAAAUUUCAUCUAAAGCUAAAUACUGGCCGGAGACCGAUAGCGCACAAGUAGAGUGAUCGAAAGAUGAAAAGCACUUUGAAAAGAGAGUUAAACAGCACGUGAAAUUGUUGAAAGGGAAGCGUUUGCGACCAGACUCGCCCGCGGGGUUCAGCCGGCAUUCGUGCCGGUGUACUUCCCCGUGGGCGGGCCAGCGUCGGUUUGGGCGGCCGGUCAAAGGCCCUCGGAAUGUAUCACCCCCCGGGGUGUCUUAUAGCCGAGGGUGCAAUGCGGCCUGCCCGGACCGAGGAACGCGCUUCGGCUCGGACGCUGGCGUAAGGUCGUAAAU